GUGAUUCACAGCCAUUAUUGUAAGGAGGCUGUUAUGUAUUUUUAGUGCUGCUGGGACCAUAGGAAUUUUUGAGUGACUUUGACUGCAGACAACAAUGUGGAGAAUAAUCCUGACUGUGAAAAGUGCUGUUGGGGCUGCAGAAAAGUAGAGAAUUAUUUUGACCAAGGGCAAUCAUGUCUUCUCUGACAAGAAAUACAAGUCUGUCCAGGCGAGGAAUUGUGGGUUGCUGAGACCGGGAGGAAAAAAAAUGCUGGAAAGAGAAGGUGAAGCUUUGUUGAGAAUUGACAGCAUGUUCAGUUAACUGGGAGCUACAGGUGGCGACUUCUCCUGGUGGCCAUCUCUUCAACGUGCACCACAGAAAUGCUCUGCACUUCCUGGUCUCUGGAGGUCCUUCCCUGUCACUCCUCUUGACCUGGAGCAUCCCUUUCUGGGGAGGUUUGUUCACUGUCUUGGAGACCCUCUGGACACCGAAUUGGCUCAGGAGGGCUGUAUGCUGUAAGAUCCUAUUGUCAGCAAUCCUUCCUGAUUCGCCUCAGAAGAUGGGAACAUGUGCUAAUGGUUGGAAGGAGUGCUGUGACUCAUCCAUAGGAAAACAGCAGAACUGA
Molecule: long non-coding RNA, 605 nt
Filed under: Chloebia gouldiae (Gouldian finch)
Lineage: Eukaryota; Metazoa; Chordata; Aves; Passeriformes; Passeridae
Description: Erythrura gouldiae (Gouldian finch) lncRNA (ENSEGOG00005003121.1)
Source: RNAcentral